UUCGCCGCUCGCGACGUCUUGAGAAGUCCGCUGAACCUUAUCAUUUAGAGGAAGGAGAAGUCGUAACAAGGUUUCCGUAGGUGAACCUGCGGAAGGAUCAUUGUGGAAAACCUCAUCCAGGACGACCGCGAACGUGUCAACGAGCGCCGUCGGGCCGGGCCGUGCCUCGGACCGACGCAGUGCCCGCCCUCGUGGCGGGGACGAUGGACCAAAACCCCCGGCGCGAUGGGCGCCAAGGAAGCGUGAAACGUGCGUUUCGGCCGGACACCCUUCCGGCCGCGCCGCACCUACCAGGAAAUCGAAUGACUCUCGGCAACGGAUAUCUCGGCCCUCGCAUCGAUGAAGAACGUAGCGAAAUGCGAUACGUGGUGUGAAUUGCAGAAUCCCGCGAACCAUUGAGUUUUUGAACGCAAGUUGCGCCCGAGGCCUUCCGGUCGAGGGCACGCCUGCCUGGGCGUCACGCCACCGACGCUCCGUGCUCCCGCUCAACCCCCACUCGCGGGUGGCGGAGCAGGUGCGGACACUGGUCCCCCGCGCCCUGGGCGCGGUCGGCCGAAGAGCGUGCCGUCGACGGUGGUCGGACACGACGGGUGGUGGAGCCUCGAGCAAGCCGAACGUCGUGCCCCCCCGAGGAGACGCGCUCCGAAGGAUCCCCCAUCCCAGCGUUGACCUUUCGCCUUGGAUCGCGACCCCAGGUCAGGCGGGGCCACCCGCCGAGUUUAAGCAUAUAAAUAAGCGGAGGAGAAGAAACUUACGAGGAUUCCCAUAGUAACGGCGAGCGAACCGGGAUCAGCCCAGCUUGAGAAUCGGGCGGCCGCGCCGUCCGAA
This 828-nucleotide ribosomal RNA is filed under the name Marantochloa filipes. RNAcentral describes it as "eukaryotic LSU rRNA". The stretch from base 305 to 460 matches the Rfam family "5.8S ribosomal RNA". The record is from RNAcentral. Lineage: Eukaryota; Viridiplantae; Streptophyta; Magnoliopsida; Zingiberales; Marantaceae.